RNAcentral lists this ribosomal RNA (433 nucleotides) under uncultured bacterium. RNAcentral describes it as "partial 16S ribosomal RNA". It matches the Rfam family "Bacterial small subunit ribosomal RNA", at positions 29 to 507 of the family's 1533-position model. The record is from RNAcentral.
AACGAACGCUGGCGGCAGGCUUAACACAUGCAAGUCGAGCGAGACCUUCGGGUCUAGCGGCGGACGGGUGAGUAACGCGUGGGAACGUGCCCUUCUCUACGGAAUAGCCCCGGGAAACUGGGAGUAAUACCGUAUACGCCCUUUGGGGGAAAGAUUUAUCGGAGAAGGAUCGGCCCGUGUUGGAUUAGGUAGUUGGUGGGGUAAUGGCCCACCAAGCCGACGAUCCAUAGCUGGUUUGAGAGGAUGAUCAGCCACACUGGGACUGAGACACGGCCCAGACUCCUACGGGAGGCAGCAGUGGGGAAUCUUAGACAAUGGGGGCAACCCUGAUCUAGCCAUGCCGCGUGAGUGAUGAAGGCCUUAGGGUUGUAAAGCUCUUUCAGCUGGGAAGAUAAUGACGGUACCAGCAGAAGAAGCCCCGGCUAACUCCGUG